RNAcentral lists this long non-coding RNA (1298 nucleotides) under Drosophila guanche. The record is from RNAcentral. Lineage: Eukaryota; Metazoa; Arthropoda; Insecta; Diptera; Drosophilidae.
AGUCGCAGUAGCAGUAGCCGUGGACCACCCUAGGCAUAUUUAUUGGAAAUCUGAAACAGCUCGAAUGUCCAUGUUCAACCCCGCUACACUCCAAUCCACAAUCCACUUCAGUCCACCCACUUCGACAUCCACAACCACUCCAUCCGUGUGUAUCCGUGUCCGGCAGAAGGCACAAAGAAUUUGUUACAUGAAAUUGUUAACGGGCUGAAGCUGAAGCCUCGACUCUGCGUUUGAUGCCUUUUGCUGAUAUAUGGCCAACCUUUGACAUCCUUUAAACGAGCAACAUGAUGCUCUAGAUUAUGGUCCCGGGGCUCAGGCCAGUCCAGGACAGUCCAGGACAGGACAGGAGAUUGCCUGGGUGCCUGUCUCUGGCUCCCAUUCCAUCUCUCGCCCGCUGCCUGUGUCUCUGGUUGUCUCACUUGGGCGAUACGUCAAUGUGACAGUUUGAUAAUUUAUUUUGUUCAAAUUUUGUUUUUCCUGUCUGCGUGUUUGUGUGCGUGUGUGUGUGUAUGAGGGGAAAAGCGCUUAAAUAAGUUAUCAACGGGCUUUCGGCUUGGGCCAUGUACAUAUAUGGCAGCACGUAAAUGAAUGAAAUUAUUUUGCAACAAAUUAAGGAAAAUUUAUGCGUCAAGACGACAGGGCAGCACCAGGGCCAUGGCCACCAGAGAUGGGACACAUUUUUUGGAAAAUGGGUGGAAAAUUGUUACAGGAAACACAAUCCGCAGGCAAACAAACAAAAGCGAAAACGGAUCGGAACGAAGCGAAACGAAACGAAACCAACAACCAACAAACAAACAAUGAAACGAAAACGGAACGAAGCGAAUUUUCCUUCAGCGAAAUCUGAGCGAGGCUUUGUCCCACAAAGUGCUGGCAGCAUGGAGGGAGCCCGGGGGGGAAUCCCCAAGCCUCCUUCAAAAUGAAGGCUAACUGGUGGUAGCACCACAUACAGCUACAGCUACAGCUGCAGAUACAGCUACAGAUAUGUAUUUUUUAUUUCUUUGCCUCUCUCCGAAUCAAAUGUCAAUAGAGAGUACAUUUCAUUCAGCCGGGUGAUGCUUUUUCCGCCUCCUCCCAACUCUUCCUCGUGGCCCUUCCCGGCCAGAAACAUCCUCGACCCACCUCCUGCUGGUGUCCCCGCCCCGCAUUGUAGCUGUCACAGUGUUUGUUUGCGGAUUUGAAGCUUUUUCCUCUUUGCCAACGCGCUUUUUUUCCACGCUUCCCUUUCAAGGGGUAGUCCGCUGAUCAGAAGCUGAAAGCAACUGACAAACUGAGACUUAAGGUUGAAGUUAAAAAUCUAC